UACGUAGGGGGCAAGCGUUGUCCGGAAUCAUUGGGCGUAAAGCGCGUGUAGGCGGCCCGGUAAGUCCGCUGUGAAAGUCCAGGGCUCAACCCUGGAAUGCCGGUGGAUACUGUGGGACUAGAGUACGGAAGAGGCGAGUGGAAUUCCUGGUGUAGCGGUGGAAUGCGCAGAUAUCAGGAGGAACACCAAUAGCGAAGGCAGCUCGCUGGGACGUUACUGACACUGAGGCGCGAAAGCGUGGGGAGCGAACAGG
Molecule: ribosomal RNA, 253 nt
Filed under: uncultured bacterium
Lineage: Bacteria
Description: partial 16S ribosomal RNA
Rfam family: Bacterial small subunit ribosomal RNA
Source: RNAcentral